This 28606-nucleotide long non-coding RNA is filed under the name Capsicum annuum. Its description in RNAcentral is "long non-coding RNA (CANN_LNC021842)". The record is from RNAcentral. Lineage: Eukaryota; Viridiplantae; Streptophyta; Magnoliopsida; Solanales; Solanaceae.
AAAAAAAAAAAAAAAAACUAGAGAAAAGGUUCGUCAUUGCAUUGUGGCUCUCGUUAUGCAUAGAGUUAGAGAAGGGCAACCCAAGUGGAUGAAUAGAUUUUAAUUAAACUUAGAUAAAUGGCCAAUCGUAAUUCGUAGUGAAUGACUCAAAAGUUGCUUGGUAAUUGAUGUGUUUUAUAUUAGUCGGUCAUUUUUCUUUUUACAUGUAUAUUAAAAAAUCAUAAAUAAGAAGGUGAUUUUACUAAUUCACCUCUUAAAAUAUUUUUUUGGGAAUCUUACAAACAAGUGUGAACACUUUAAAAAAGAAUUAAUUGUAAAUAUAAUGCGGAAAAAAAUUAUCUAAUAUUAAUAAAAUGACCAACUAAUAUGGAACAAGGGAGUGAAGUUUUUCUAAGGAUUGUCCUUAUUGUAGGACAGUUUUCUAAAGUCCUUAAAUAUGAUGGUCAUCUUUAAUUUUUGCAUUUAUUGGAGAUUUAAUACAAAUUUGUGGAUUAAAAUAUUUAAUUUUUCAAGCUUAAUUCACUCGUAUAAGUAUAGAUAAUUAAGUUAUGCUACACAAGUUGUAUGUGUAGUAUUUUCUUGAAUUUGUUAUAGUGUUCAGAAAUUGAAUAUACUUUUUGGGACGUCUAAAGUAAUGUCAUAGCUAAUACGGAUGGUAGAGUAUAUGGGAUCUAUGUAUUGUUUCUUUUUUUUCAAAAGAAUAUAUACAUUAUGCCCAUUUUCAAAAUCGCACAUAUUAGUUGGAGCUCUAGUGCACGUGACUUUUUUUUUUUAACACUAUACCCUCUCAUGUACAUAUAACAUAUUGUGCCUUUUAUGAUAUAACUAGUGGAGUACAUAAUUUAUGUCAUGAAAUAAAUUAUACUCCCUCAAUUGCAUUUCACCUGUCAUUAUUUCCUUUUCGAUUCGUCCAAAAAGGAAUGUCAUAUUUUCUUAUUUGGUAACUAUUUAAUGACUUCAUUUUAUUUUUUGUGAGUCCCACUUAUUAAACAAAAGACAAUUAAAAAGUAAAUAUCCCAUUAAAAUAACUUUAAGAGGGACAAUUUUAUAACUUUAUAAAGUCAUCACUUAUUUAUUAAAAUUCGUGUCCAGUCAAAUGACGACACAUAAAAUAGGAUGGAGAUAGUAUGUUAUUUUAAUAUUAAAAACACAACUUGCUAUGCUUUUUAUGACGUAAUUUGUGAGAUAUUAUAAUAAAAAAUAUAUAUAUUUAUGUUCUUAAAAAAUAUUUAUUAUUUGAAUAUCAUAUAUUUUCAGUUACUAUUUCAUUACUUAAAAUACUGAAGAACAAAAAUUAAAUACCACACAAAAUAGAAAUGUGCGAAUGACCCAUAACUAAUUGCAAAUGUUGACGAAUUAUCGUCGACAAAAUGGGAACACUGGAUAGCCAUAAAGUUUGAACUUUAUGAUAAAAUCGAAUACUAGUAGUAAAUAGUCAAACUUUUUUUUUUUUUUUAAUUCAUCCCAAAAUUAUACAUCCAUAUCCAAUCAUCAAAGGCAUGUUAUCUUCAACCUCUUUUGAUUAUCAAGUUGCACAAAAACACAAUUUUUUAUUUUAUUUUUCAUCCGGUAUCCGAUAUCCAUAUUGAAACUCGAUUAAUUUAGAUUCGCACCAGGUAGGACCCCAUUCGGGGAUAGCGCUUCCAACAUAGUUUUCUCGAUGCCCAGAGUCGAACCCUCGACCUCUAAUUAAAGGUGGAGCAGCCUCAUCCGCUACACCACAACCCAUAUUAGUAAAAAACACAAUUUUGACAAUAAGAAAAGUGGUUUGUAUUGUAUACCAAUAUAAUAUUGACACUUUGUUGGAAUUAAAUUCCUUUUUAGUGCAUUUAUAGCUUUCUGUUUAUUUAAUUAACUAAUUUUUGUUGAGAAAAUUAAGGUUGAAAUUCAUAGGACUAUAUUCCCCUGUUUCAAUAAUUUAUUUGUGUUACUUUUCCUUUUUAAUAAUCCAGUUUCUAAAAAUAUAUAGUAUAUUUUUUGAGUCAUAUAUUUUCUUUCUUUGACAACUCUUUAGUAAAUGACAUUUUGACAUAUUUGAUUUAUCUUUAAUUUUAUACUACAAGAUUCAAUACACUUUUUUAAUUUAUAUGCCAAUAUAAUACCAAGUUUUAUUUUAUUACGACACUUUAUUGGAAUUAAAUUCUUUUUUUAGUGCGUUUAUAGCUUUCUGUUUAUUAAUUAACUAAUUUCUGUUGAGGAAAUUAAGGUUGAAAAUUGAUGGGACUAUAUUCCCCUGUUUAAAUAAUUUAUUUAUGUUACUAUUCUUUUUUAAUAAUUUGGUUUUCUAAAUACUAUGUGUAGUAUUAGGUGUCUCGAGUCGGGGGUCUAUCGGAAACUGUCUUUCUACUUCUUUAGAGGUAGAGGUAUGGACUGUGUACAUCUUACCCUCCCCAGAUCCCACUAUGUGGGAAUACACUGGAUUUGUUGUUGUUGUUGUUGUUGUUGAUUUUCUAAAUACUAGAUGUAGAAGCCCGCGCUAGCGCAGGCCCAAUAAUUGUAACAUAGCUAUAAUUUAUAACCGUUAGUUAUAGCUUCACAGUUGAUAAUUCAGAGCCGUUGAGUCAAGAUUUCAUAUUUUUCUUAAUCAAUUAUCACAAUGUAGAGAUUAAAUGAUAAUAUGAACAAUCACUGUAAUAUGAAUGGUAAGUUAUCAUGUAGGUAAUCACUAAUAGUUGAAAAUAUUCAGACUUGAAUGGAAAGAAAUGUCAAAUUACCCUGUGGACAACAAAUGAUAGCAAAUAACAACAAAAACAUAUGCAAGGUAUUAGAGCAAUACUAUUUUCAAAGUUGUUGGUCUACAUUAAUAUUCUUCACCAUUUUUUUCGUUAUCAACUCCUUCAGCACCACUUGCUCGUAGUCUUUUUCAAGUGCAAGUAAAUCUUCAGGGGCUUCAGAAAACUCUACCUCUUCCAUGCCUUCUCCAACAUACCAGUGGACGAAUGCCUUUUGAAGCCAGUUGGGCAUUUGUUCAAAUCUCAAAAUCAAAAAAAUAAAAUCACACGGUUGCAUCCACAUUAAAAAAUUUUCUGUACUCUGUUCAGAUACAAGUAGCUCACGCUUGUUAUUGGUGCAAAAUCUUUACUAGUCAACAAAUUGAAUCGUCCACUACGUUAAUACGCCAUAUAUUUUCAAUGCGUUGGGUCACAUUUAGCCAUCAUGCUUGAGUGCUCAAAAACUGCAUUAAUUAUCUCAAGUACAGAUAAUUGCUCAUGGUAUGCGUUUUCAGCUGAGAUGACAGGGGUAUAUGAUAAAAGCAUAAUGGCUUUAUUGUAAACAUCACAACCAUAUCAAUGUGUUCUAAAAGGGAAUGGGUUGAAAGAACACUGUUAUAAGGUUCUGCAACAGUAAUGGAUACCUAAAAUUUAACAGACACAAAUAAUCUUGCUGUUACAAAUAAGAGAUGCAUGGUUAUAUAUGGUAUUCACCUGGGGAGAAGAGUAGAUAGUAAACACAAUGUUGGACUUUUUAUCAUAAUCAACAAAUAAGCAUUCCAGAACCAGUACCACCGCCAAUAGCAUUAAAGACCAAGAAUCAUUGCAAAGCAGUGCAGUUAUCAGCUAAUUUUCUAAUGCGAUCAAGGAAAAGAUAAACAAUCUCUUUGCUAACAUUAUAAUGUCCUUUGGCAAAAUUAUUAGCAGCAUCGUUCUUUCUAGAAAUGAGUUGUUCAGGAUAGAAAAGCUGACGAUAGACGGCAUUUCUAACUUCAUCAAUAACAGUUGGUUCAAGAUCAACAAAUAUAGUUGUUGAUACAUGCUUUCCAGCACCAGUUUCGACAUACAUGGUGUAUUCCAAGGUCGUAAAUGAUUCAUGAUCGUGAAUGGGGUGGUAAAACUGAGGUGGCGGACUUUCUAUAUAUAUCCAAAGUUUAAUAUAAUUCACAUGUCACGCGAACAUACUAAACAAUAGCUCCUAAAAAUCUCUCAACAUCUUUAAUUUUAACAUUCUACAUACAUUUUUAUGAUUACAAAAUUAAAGGACAUUUUGGUAUAUUCAUAUAUCUUUAAUUUAAGAUUUUCAAAUUCAAAAGCUCCUUUACUUUCUUAAGAUUUUGUAUCUGCAGCAUGCUAACAUUACCUAAGCUCAUUUUGAACCUCCUCUAUUGUUGAUCUUCGCGGAGAAGUUGUAUUACCAAUAGCAACUCCCAUGGAAUCAGCCUCAAAAUCGAUUAUAGGAUCAGAUUCCGCACCACAUCCAUGUAUGCGCACCUUAAAAGCUGAAGGAUCUUGCCCACCAUCAAUACAAGCUUGAUCAAAUUCCUUAGACAAAACAAUACUUAAAAGUCAUGCAUGAGCUAAAACACCAACAAGUAGUAACAAUUGAUAUUAGCACAUAGAGACAAAAGAAGAGGUAUACCCCUUUCAUGGAUAUGAUAAGGACUUGCAUAAAAAAUAUCUCUGGGUGAGAAGUCAGACAUAUUGCUCUAUUUUCGAUCAACUUGUACUGCAAAAUAACAAAACAACAGUAUCAGGUAGCGAAACAACUUCCAGAAAGCCACAUAAUUAAUAUUAAAGACCAAUUUUUGGGGAGCAACAGUGUUAAAACUAAAUUUAUUUUUAGCCCAGUUAGAUCAGAUAUAUAAAGCUUUAAAGUUGUAUAAGCUAAAAAAAUUGAGGUCGCCUGGUACUUAACAUUUAAUCUGACGUUCUUAUAUGUUGAGAGUUUGUUUAAACAAUGGCAACAUACCAAGUGUUAUCUAAUAUGAGGGAUAUGGAAAAGGUAGGAUAUAUGCAGACCUUACCUGUGUAGUAGAAAGCUUGUUUCCUUAGUUUCCCUGUAUCAAUCUACUUUUCUACGAUGCUGAAAUAUAGGAAAAGUUUUCAAAAAUAAGAAUUGAAGUAAUUACAGUAACAAGCAAUACUGAUCAAUGGGAAAAAGUAAAUUCAUCAUAUGUUUAUCAAGAUAUUCAUAUAACAUAGAUAAAGAGAUGCAGUUGGUAAAAGAGUACUAUGUUGAUUUCAUCAACCACAUAACUAUAUGAUCAUUAUACACAUAAUGUACAAUUUUAGGAGCAUGAGUUUCUAGCCUUCCUUAUACACAUAGUAAUAUGAAGAAUUGGUGCUCCAUAGAGAAGAUUCAACUGCAAACCUCCUACAUAAUUGGCUAAUCUGAAGGUUGAAGAAACAUAUGCUCUUUCUUUUCAAUGUGUUUGUUGUAAGAAAAGGAAAAAGAUACCACUUAGCCGAUAUUUACUAAUGAUUUCUAGUGGUAUAGACAUACAUUUUGCGCAAAACAAUGUCCAAAAUCUUGAAUAGUUACAGUUGUGCUUGAGCAAUUCUUAUUUUGAAACUAAAUUAUUGAUGUGAAUAGAUUAUCAAUUGCCACCCAAAUAUAGUGAAUCACAUCAAAAUAACAUGGUGUUAAUCUUACAAAACUUCCUGGAUGGCUACAAAAGCCAUCGACCAAGUGAUAUGUUUGACAAAACUCAUGUUUUUAUCUAAGAAAUAAGAAUCAAGAAAACAUUCAGAAAGUUCAUCAAUAAAAAACAAUCAGAGAUUACCGUUCAUUGUGAUUAAUUUAAUCUGUUUGAAUUGCUUCGCAUAUGCAAAUUAAUUUUCUAGUGAAGUCGACUAUUUGUCCCCUUUGCCAAAAGUUAAUAACCUGUAAACCGAACAAAAAUAAAAAAUAUGGCUAAGAUAAAUUUGUAAGUAGUACGAAUAUCUUUGUUAAAAAAAAAUAAAGAUUAAGCAGUAAUUAACAUCCAAUUAGCUAAAGAGAAACUAUUAAACUACCAUACCCCAAAAAUAAAAAAGGAAAAAAGUAGAUAACAGAUUCCAUAACAACAAAAAUAUAAAAUUCAUAGAACAAAAAUAUCAAGGUAACAAUCAAGUUAAGAAUCAAGCAACUGUAAGAAGAAAUUGAGAACAAUACAAUUGUAAAAAGAGAAAGAGACGAUGGACAAAGUGGACAUAGAUGUCAAAACUUGUUGGUAACAAUGACAAGCCCCGCUUCAUGUGCGUUCUUAUCUCAAGCAGCAUAGUCGGCAAAUGUUAAGACACGUGUAAACUUGUACAAAUGUCAUCUAAUAGUUAAGAAUACAGUAGCUAGUGAAAGGACUGAAAUGCCCCUUACCACUAAGCUGGCAGGACGACCAUGAGGUGAUAAUUAAUUAUAUUUUAAAUAUUUUUAGAUAUUUUAAGUUGUUAGCUAUUGUAAUUUAUAAUAGUUUUUGACAUUGUAAUUUACUAUUUUAAGUUGUUAGCCAUUAUAAUUUAUAACUCUCCUUGUCCAAAGUUUUGUAGCAUUGAUAGUCUAUUAUAUUUUUAGAAUAAUUUAAGUUUUUAAUUACUGAAAUUUAUAAUAUUGUUUCUUCUAUUUCAAUUUAAGUGACACUGAUAUAAUUUCGAGAGUCAAUCAAAUAUCACGAUUGAAGUCCCAAAGUAGACACAACUUAAAUGACUCAUAAUAACUUAUUAGAAGCAAUACAAUAAAAUUACUAUAAAAAAUAAUUGUGAAAAAAAAUUAAGCGGGCCUCAUAUAAGAUGUCAAGUUAAUUUAAAAUAUCAAUAAUUAAUUUAUCUUUUUUUAUUAAAUAUUUUUUUAAUAUUUAGAUGAAUCAUAAUAAUUAAUUAGGGAUAAAAUAGUAAAAUUACGGUUGAAACAACUGAAGCAAACAUGUCAUAAACGUCUAUUUUACUUUUUUUUAAUCAAAUAUUAUUAAUUUUUUAAUACGUAAAUGACAUAUAAUAAUCAAUUAGGAAAUAACUUAUUAGAAGUGGUAUAACAAAAUUAAUAUAAAAAAUAGUUGUGAAAAAAAUUUAGACAGACCUUAUAUAAGAUGUCAAGUUAAUUUAAAACUUCAAUAGUUUGUUUAUCAUUUUUUUAUUUAUUUUAUCCUUUUUAUUAAAUAUUAUUAAUUUUUUUAAUACUUAAAUGACUUAUAGUAAUUGAUUAGGGAUGAAAUAAUAAAAUUACGGUUGAAGCAACUGAAGCAGGCAUGUCAUAAAUGUGUAUUUUAUUUUUUGUUAAAUAUUAUUAAUUUUAGUACUUAAAUGACAUAUAAUAAUUAAUUAGGGGUGAUAUAGUAAAAUUACGGAUUAAUACUUAAAUGAUCUAUAGUAAUUAAUUAGGGAUGAAAUUGAAGCAGAUGAAGCAGACAUGUCAUAAAUGUCUAUUUUAUAUUUUUGUUAAAUAUUAUUAAUUUUUUAAUACCUAAAUGACAUAUAAUAAUUAAUUAGGGAUGAUAUGAUAAAAUCAUAGAGUAAGCAAGCAUGACAACCGCCUCAUCCUUCUAAGCCUCUUCUUAUAUUUGUUAAAUAUUAUUAAUUUUUUUACUACCUAAAUGACAUAUAAUAAUUAAUUAGGGAUGAUAUGAUAAAAUCACGGAGGAAGCAGGCAUGACGACCGCCUCUUGCUUCCAAGCCUCUUCUAUAUAUUGGAAUAUAUAUAUUUUCUGAGUCAUAUAUUUUCUUCUUUGACAACUCUUUAUUAAUCAUUUUAGUACAUUCGAUAUAUCUUUGGUUUUACAAUUAAAGGGUGUUUGAGAGUGCUUAUAAGUUGGUCAAAACAACUUAUAAGCACUUUUUUGCUUAUAUUGGUGUUUGACAAAAUUUUAAGUUGUUUAAAAUAAGUUGAUUUUAGUUUUUUUUUUUAAGCUAAAAUCAAUAAGCAGCCUAAUAGGUGUUUAUUUUUUCAGAAUUUUAAGUUGACUAACAAAAUUAUCAUCUCGUCCCUUACAAUUAUGAGUUAUUCCAGUUUUACCCUUGCCGUAAUUCUCCUUUUCUUACCUUCAGCACACGUUCAAUUCCGCACUUUCAUUUCUCUGAGAAAAAACCAACGCUGCUCCUCAACACCACAUACUUUGUUCUAGAUUGUCUCUUAAAUUGUUGCAUUUCCUUCAAGAUUAGUAACAUAUAUAUUUUGCUUAAUGAUAAGCUCAACAUAUAUAUUAAUAUUAUCUUGGAAGGUUAAACACAACAAGUUCAGUUUAAUAAGAAAAUGAAAGUGUCGUAAAUUGCACCUUAAUGAUACGAAACAAUCUUUUCAAAGAGUCUCAUUUCAAUCUCUUAAAAAAAAAUAUUUUUAGCGCACAAAUUAGUCAUUCAUGAUUUUUUUUUAAUAUAUAUAUUAAUUUUAAUUUUAAUCAUUUUAGCAAUGAAAAUUAAUAAUAAUCAACUCUAUAUAUUAUUAACAUAUCAUUUUAAAAAAAAAGUGCUUAAAAGUAUUAUUUACCAAACACAUCAAUAACGUUUUUUCAAUUUCAGCACUUUUUAACAAACACUUAACUAUUUAUUUUUAAAAUAAGUUCAGCACUUUAAUUUCUUAAAUUUCUCGUCAAAUAAAUUAAAACUUAAUAACAUAAAAAUUCAAUAUAUAUGAUUUGUACCAAUCAUAAGUGGACUUAUCAUCAACUCAAUAAAAUAUAAUUCCCAUAUUCAGUUACCUGCCAAUCAAAAACGUGAUCGCUUCUACAGUGACAGUACUUUCACCUGACUCAAUCAUAUCAACCGUAGAUCUGAAUCUUGUUUUUCCAAUCUACGUCUCUUACAGUUCCUGUUGUUACUAUAAAUCAAUUUACAUGUAACUGUAACACGUCUGAAAUUUCAAAAUUUUCCAAUUUUCCAUUUUUUCGGAAUAUUCUUGGAAUUAUUGGUAAAUCCACGGCAACGAAUAUCCAAAAAAUUCAUAUAUAUAUAUAUANNNNNNNNNNNNNNNNNNNNNNNNNNNNNNNNNNNNNNNNNNNNNNNNNNNNNNNUAUAAUUCAAUAUUGUGUAGUACUCAUUUGCUAAACGGAAGAGAAAGAAGAGAACAGUUUCCAUGGUUUCACCAAGUAAGCAUUACAAAUCCCAAAUAGCAAUUCUUGAAAAAAUUGGACUUUUUUUUUUUAAUUUUGGAAAGUUUUGGAUUUAUUUGUUGUAUUUAAUAAGCAACCCGCUGCAUUAAAGCUUUUGUUUUGCGCGGGGAUUUGUUGUAUUUAGUAUUGGAAUGAAAUCUAGUGGAGUGGAUUUAGUUUUGAUAUAUGGUUUACCCUCAGCUAGUUGGGAAUUAAUGUGUAUAUGGUAGGAGUAAAAUUUUAAAUUUUUUCCUAAGAUUGUCAUUAGGGACGCGGUAGUGGUAAGGUCUGCGUACGCUCUAUCCUCCCAAACCCCACUGGUGGGAUGUGGGAUUUCACUGGCUAGCCAGUUGUUGUUGUUCUAAGAUUGUCAUUUGGUUCUUGAAAAAUUGUGUUUUCAGCUUAGAUUUUGUAUAUCUACGACCCCUUUUAUGUAUAUAGCUGCUGUAUUAAGUGGAAUCAUUUGAAAGAUUGUUUUUUUAAUGGGUUUUAAGUUCUUCGUGGGGUCAAAUCUUGGAUUAAUAAACUAAUCCCUGUGUUCCAAAGUGCACUGAGUUAGUUAAGUUGGACCAAAUUCAAUAUGUUGCUGCUAUAAAAAGAAGGGCAGCCCGGUACUAAAGCUCCGCUAUGUGUGGGGUCCAGGGAAGGACCGAACCAAACCACAAGGCUCUAUUGUACAUAGCCUUACCUUGCUUUUCUACAAGAGGCUGUUUUCACGGCUUGAACCCGUGAUCUCCUGGUCACAUUGCUGUUAUUAAGUUACUAAUCAAAUCAUUUAUUAAUAGGUUAAGUAAUGUACUGUAGUAAUAGUUUUUUAGUAAUUAAAUUGUUUAUUCUUUUUCGGGACUGCUUUGGACUGUUUUUUCUUGAGCUGGGGGAUCUGUUGGAAACAACCUCUCUACCUCUGUGAUAGAGGUAAGGUCUGAACACUCUACACUCUCCAAACCCCACUUUGUGGCUCUACAAUGGGUAUGUUGUUGUUGUACUGUGGCAAUAGGUUGCAGAAAUCUGCAUUUGAUACAUAUCUGCAUAAUUUACUUUGAGUAAAUGGGAGGGUUGAAAAGUUCGUCAAGAGCUUAUCUGUGAGCUUUGUCUGGUACUCUUGACAAUUAAAAUUCUUGUCCAAGCUUUUCCCAGAUAAGCACGCAUUAUAUGCAGCGUCUUUGCAUUUAUUUGAUAUCUAAUUGACUUGUGAUACCAUAAAAUUAUCUAUUAUGGGGAGGAGGUGUACUGAUAAAAGAUACAAGAAAAGAAAGACAUAAGUUAAAAUUUGGUGUGUCUCAUUAAUACAUGACAGGUUUACACCUUGAAAUCGGUUGGUAACUCUUAAAUAUUUUACAUGCUAAGUUGGGGUUACUGAAUUCAGUUCUUGAAUUACUUUGUAGGUCAAUCUGGCCCCAUAAAACCGCAGAGAGAUGUUAGCAAUCGCAUUAGUACUAAAUAGUUUUGUAGGGUCUCUGUUUCCCCAUUAAUACCAUGUGAUGUUAGGUGAAUUUGUAGUCUCCUUUGUUUGCCAACCACAGAAUCCCAAAUGAUAUUAACUGGACUGGAAGCUUUUGUUUGUUCGUGCUUUUUGAAUACUCCAAAGCACUGUAUUGGAAUCAGUCUAUGUAGGUAAACAUUGUAUAAGCUUUGAACUCAGUCUGUCUAGGUAAACAUUAUACAAGCUUUGAAAUCAGUCUAAGUAGACAUUAUAUAAGUUUUGAACUUACUUCUCUUCUUUAAAGUGAAUGUCAUGGUGUGACAUGACACAAUUUCUAAAGGUAAACUUGGAGAUGCGUGUUAGUUGAAUUGAAAUCAGUCUAUGUAGGCAAACAUUGUAUAAGCUUUGAACUCAGUCUGUCUAGGUAAACAUUAUAUAAGCUUUGAAAUCAGUCUAAGUAAACAUUAUAUAAGCUUUGAACUUACCACUCUACUUUAAAGUGAAUGUUAUGGUGUGACAUAUCUUAUCAAAAAAAAAAAAAUGUCAUGGUGUGACAUGACACGAUUUAUAAAGGUAAACUUGGAGAUGCAUGUUAGUUAGUAUUAAUUGGUAAGAGAAGUAAGACUAGUUUUUGAAUUUGGAAAAUCCUGCUCAACUUUUUUGUGUAUCAUAUUCAAUGAGAUGUGAAAUGUUAAAACAUUUUGUUUGCACUUAUAGAAUAUAAACAUGGAUGUUGAGGAUUCAUAUGUUGACCCCAACUAAUUUAAAAUUAAUGCAUUGGUGUUGUUGUAGAUUAUAGAAUUUAUAUUUCGGAUCAGCUCAAAAGAAGGAAUUUUCUCUCCAAAUCGAAAAAGGAGCACUGUUAGUUUUAUUUAGAUAGAGUCGAAAGUACUGCCAGACAUGUCAAUUGCUUUAAUGCAGUAUUGUGCAUCAUAUAAUGAUGGUGCAUAAUAUAACGGGUUCAACUCAUUCCAAUUAGUCAACCAAAUAUCACGGAAGGCAUAUAAAGGAUUAGCGUAGGCAACCCAACUAGCAUGUGAUUGAAGGUAAUUGAUUCAUAGAAUUAGUGAACCAAAUAAGGGUCACCAAAAAAUUCCUAUUAUAGGUAAAUCUUAUUUUUCAUUAUUGAUUUCCAGAAUAAGAAUUAAUGUAAACCUAGCACUUAGUCCAAAGUUUAGAAGGAUACCCAUUUCAAACUAGGCUAUAAACAUUGGGUUGAACUUGUUAUGAUAUAUUUGGCUAACCUGCACUGCAAGCACUAUUCCGUUGUGCAUUGGCUGAAUAAAUCGCUGACUGUACAUUCUUCGCAUAUUUGUCAUGCUGCUUGUUGCUAAAGAAUGUGAAUUUGACGUAGCUGUUGAGUAGUCCUAGUUUAGGACCUAGGCACAGUGGCUGUUGUGUUAGUACUACUGCUUGCUUAGUUUACAGAGUUUUCAAUGUUUAAGAUUGAAAUGUAAGAUGUUAUAACUUUUCUCAAGUUACUAUAAAUUUGUUUAUCAGAAUUGAUCAAUUGCUGAUGUCAAGUGCACGCAUUCAUGUAUAUAUUGGUCUCUAACCAUAUAUGCACCAUCAUGGUUAUCAAAAACAACUUCUCUAUCUCACCUCUAAGGUAGUGGUAUGGACUGAGUACACUUACCCUCCCCAGACCCCACUUUGUGGGAAUAUACUGGGUAUGUUGUUGUAACCAUACAUGCACCAUCAUAUAUACCAUGCGGUCACGUGUGAAACCAUUGACCGUAGAUAGACAAGCAUAGAUAACGUUUAUAAUCGACUCUGUGCAUGUACAGAAUGUUUACCUCUUUCUCAUUGUACUUUACAGGUGUGAUCCCUUAUAUCUUUCUGUUACUUCUUGUUGGAUGCUCGGCCAGACCUCUCUAUCCACUACCUGGAAGAAGAAAUGAUAGGAAUAAACAGCCUUUACAAACAUUUCGAGCUUACAACAUCGCACACCGAGGUUCAAAUGGAGAAGUUCCUGAAGAAACUGCAGCAGCAUACAUGGUACGUCUGCAACAAAAUCGUCUAAGUAGAAAAUAGGAAUUGGGUUUAGUAUCCAAUGAAAUGGCUUCAGUUAAGGCCAUAUGUGGCCGGCCACAUGGUUGAUACUUAAAUUGUUUAUAGGGGGGAAGUCUUUUUGCUGUUUUGUAAUAUCACCUUUCUGCUUGCAAUAACUGAUGCUGUAAUAGAAACAAACAUGCUGUUUCUUUAGAUAAACUGCAAAACAUGCUCCUGAAACUCUAGUACUAUGCAGAGAGCUAUUGAAGAGGGUACAGAUUUCAUCGAAACAGAUAUUUUAGCAUCUAAAGAUGGCGCUCUUAUAUGCUUCCAUGAUGUCAUCCUUGAUGAUACAACUGAUAUAGCAAAUCACAAGGAGUUUGCUGAUCGAAAGAGGACCUAUGAAGUUCAAGGGGUCAACAUUACUGGAUAUUUUCUGGGUAUGGAUGUUAUUAUUUCACUUGUGCUAACUUCUAUUGUUUUCCUGUCAAUAAUAGAUUAUGUCGUUCUGUUGUCAUUUAGUGUUAGAUUUAUUUUGCCCAUGUGUAUAAGCAAAUGUAAAUUUUAUGUACUUCUAAGUGUUACACUAUCUCCUUACUGAUAUAAUAUAUAUCAUUACCUCAUCUCUUAGUAAUUUCUUGUACUAAUAUGCAGUUGAUUUCACCCUUCAAGAAUUGAAGCUUCUGCGCGUAAAGCAGAGAUAUCCUUUCAGAGAUCAGCAAUAUAAUGGUUAGUUUUCUAAAUGUUCCUGUAAACACAAAACAAGAUAAGGAAAUUUAUGCUAUCUGAAAUGUAACAUGAGCCAAAAAUGCUUCUUUUGAUUAACUUUGCCCAACAAUUAGACAUGCAUGCUUCUGCUAUAAUUCUAUAUGAGGGUACUUUUUUCAGAAAAACACAUCUCAUUGCCAAUAUUUCUCGGUGUCUUUAUUUUUCAAUUAACAUGCAGGACAAUUUUCUAUUAUUACUUUUGAGGAGUUCAUCUCAAUUGCUUUGGAUGCUCAUAGAGUUGUUGGAAUAUAUCCAGAGAUAAAAAAUCCAGUCCUUAUCAACCAACACGUGAGUUCAUUCCUUUCUGCUACAAUAUAGGGGAAACUGAUUUUUAUUGCAGAGUAUGUUUUGCUGGAAAAUCUGUUGGUAUCCUUAUGUGUUUUUCUCAGUUUUAAAACUGAUAUCCUUAUGAAUACUUUCAGUUAUCUUAUACAUUAACUGUUGGUUCCAACAGGUCAAAUGGCCAGGUGGUAAGAAAUUCGAGGACAAGUUUGUUGAGACACUAAAGAAGUAUGGAUACAAAGGUUCAUAUAUGUCGAAGCAAUGGUUAAAGCAGCCUGCAUUCAUUCAAUCUUUUGCACCAACAUCGUUAAUUUAUAUAUCAAAUCAGACAGACUUGCCUAAGAUCUUCCUCAUUGAUGACACGAAUAUGCCAACUCAAGACACCAAUCAGGUUUUCACUCCCCCACACCUAGCUAGCACUGUAUGUGACAGAAGAAAUUGACCAUCUUUAUAUGGAAAAUGCUAAAUUCCAAAAAGAAAAAAAGAAACUUUUACCCACAAUUUAGAUUCAUAUACAAAAAGGAAACCCAAACUUUUAGGACUUUAUCAAAGUGUCAACUACAUCUGCAGUCUAUAGGCAGACUUGGUAAAGAUUUGUAAAAAGCAUGUAAUAUUAAGAUUCUUGCGUAAAAUUUUACAGGAUUAACAACUACACUUUACAAGCUUGAUAAAAAUGAGAAACUGAGUCUUUGCUGAUUAAGAAAUGAACCUACAUUCACAUGUAUAGGAAUAUAGUUUUGCUGGAAAUAUUCCCUAGAGAAAUCUGUUUGUCAAACCGUUUUUGCUGUUGCUUAGAAAAUUAGUGAUCCUUUUUCACAUUUCAGUCAUACUGGGAGAUCACGUCAGAUGGUUAUCUUGACUAUAUCAAGGAAUAUGUGGUGGGGAUUGGGCCUUGGAAGGACACCAUAGUUCCUUGUUCCAACAAUUAUCUGCAAACACCUUCUGAUCUCGUCGCAAGAGCACAUGCCCGUAAUCUACAGGUAUGUGAUCAAUCAUUGUUUCUGGGAUAUCAUCGACAUGUGAAGUUAUUGGUGAUUUGAUAUUUCCCUCCACUGAUCUCUGUUCCGCAGUUAUUAAUUUGAUUGUGCAUUAAGAUUAUAUUACUUUUAAUUGAAGGGAAAGAAAAUGCCUAUAUUUCAUAUUUAGUGUUUUGAAUUGGCAUGCUAUGUACUUUUUUUAACUUAAUGAAUUGCUGAGUUCAUUCUGUUUUAAGUUUGCGGGGUGCUGGGUUGCCUCUAGUUGGUGAGUGUCUGCCUCUAAGUGCCAGGGUUGUCAUUUUUACAUCUAAUUCUCAGAGAGGCUAGUGAGUCACUAUGCAUUAAUGGGCGGUGUUUGGGUUUGCUGUUGCCUUCUAUAAUAGAUCCCCUGCCAUCUUUCUGCAUUCCAUUUUAUGCACGCCUCUUCUUAAAAUUGUCGACUCUCCAUUAACAAGUGCCUUCUGAAUUAUUGAGUUUCCAAAGAAACUGAAACCUUGUAUUAUACCGAUCUCAUGGGUAGAAGUGGUCUUUCUUUUUCUCUUUUUUUGUGCAAUUCAUCUUAAUUUCAUACACAUUCAUCCUCUGAAUUUCAAUAACAAAUCCAGGUUCAUCCAUACACUUUCCGGAAUGAGAACAAAUACCUACACUUCAACUUCAGUGAAGAUCCAUACAAUGAGUAUGACUACUGGAUAAACAAGAUAGGAGUUGAUGGACUCUUCACAGACUUCACAGGUAGCCUUCACCAAUAUCAGGAAUGGACCAAACCAUUUGCAUCUGGAGACAAAGAAGCAACAAGGCUUCUGCAUAAGAUUGAAGCGAUGCUUUCCAAGUUCAAAUACACCACCUGAGUUAAAAUUGUAUUUUUCAUUGUCUGAUCACGGCUAUGCUAUUUAUUGGUCUGUAUAUAUCAUCGGUUUUCCAAUUUAUAUUUACCCGAGUUAAAACAGAUUUCAAUAUAUUAUAACUGGUGCAAUAACACUCUUGAAUCUCCAGGCUAUUGUUUUAUACAAGAAAUUCCCACCUUGCGAUGGGCAUUUGCCAAGCUUCUUUACAUAUUGUGCUUCUUGGGUUUUAACAUCUACCUUGAGCACUGUUUUACGAAAAAAGAUGGCUAACUCACUAUACUCUGGAGUUUGAUCCUGGAAAAAUAACAAAAAGCAACAAUUAAAGCUGCACGCUAUUGACUAUUCAGCUAACUACUAUGGAUUCUGCACUUUAUGUUAGUAAGGUAUCCAUGUACAAUAAACCAGAUCAAUAUCUAACAGGGUAGUUGUUAAGUUUAGCAAGAACACAGGCCCAUUUUGCUUGCUUCUGCCCCAUAAUAUGAACUAGUAGAACUGUUUCCUUUGGUCUGUCUUUGCACUGUCUUCUUGCUUGCUUAAGAUCUUCUAUUGUUCCUCUCAGUCCACACAUAAUAGAUCACAGCAGAAAAUACCCAAGCAUUGAAGUGUUGCCUCUGGUAGCAUGUAAUACAAAGGAUCUCCCUAGUAACCAAUUUGUUUAUGUAUUCCAAGACCUAAGUUGCUCGGACUGUUCAAAAAUGUCUACAGGUACGUGUCGGAUCCUCCAAAAAUAGUGUAUUUUUGAAGGAUCCGACACGGAUACGGCAACAUUUUUGAAGAGUCAGAGCAACUUGAAUCAGUUCAUCAAUGGUUUUCACAGAUAUACAGAUUGCUUUGCCAUGCUGUGUAUAACAUUUUGUCAUGAUUUCCUCCAUACUUUGAUCUGCUUUUCUUAUUUGAGCGAGUCCGGAAGUGACUUUGAAGAAUUUUGACCAACAACUUUCAUUCCAAUGAAAGAUCCUCAAGCAAUUGCAAAAAAUUUGGAGAAGCAUAAUACAUAAACGCAUUCUUUGACUUCACGUUAACAUUUAUAUCCUCCAACUUUGUGCAUGCACAAGUAACCACAAGCAUCUUACCCUGCGUAGUUCUUUAAAUCUCACUGUCUUAAAUUUUGUCAAAUAGUAGGAUGUUAAAAUUAAAUAAAAUUACUAAAUAUAAAAAUAGACACUCCUUUUGAAUCCGAUCAAGAAGAAAUUUAAGUAAUUCAUCCAUUUCAUGCUAAAAAUAAUUAUUUUAGUUUAUUGUCUACUUUAUGAAAUCGAGAAAAUUAUUAUUGUAUUUUCCACUUACACCCUUAAUAUUAACAAUUAUAAUAAAGUUUUGACACAAUAUAUAAACAUACUUUUUAACUUGAUCGAAAAUCAUAUAGCCAGUUAAACUUAAAUAAAGUUGAACAACUAAAUACAUAUGUCCCAUGUGAUAUCUUACACGGUAAGUUUUUAUCUAACAUAAUAUUUUACGUGUAUUAUAGCAAACAUAUAUAUCUACUUGUUUAAAUUUAACGUGGACAAGUAAUAUAAAACGAGAGAGUAUUUAAGGAGAGAGGGAGGGUAAAAAACGGCCGGUUCAUCAAUUACAUCUUGCGCAAGAAACCGGUAACGAGCUCAAAAAAACCCACUGAGGGAGAAGACGAAUCAAUCGGGCGAAACAAACCAAAAACCAAAAAUGCUGUUUGAAUCGCCUCGGCUUACCAAUGCUCUCAGAGAACCAUUCGACGCCGAUCAAGCUUACCUUCACCGCAAAACCAUUCUACAAAAUCUCAACUCUCGCAGGUACCAGUUAAUCGCAUCUUCAACUAAUCAAAUUUCACAUCUGUUGAUAUAAUUUUUAUUUUUUUUUGGUGUGUUUUUUCAGUAGUGCAACUUCACUUGAAGAAUCAGAACUUGCUCGAAAGAUUGUCUAUAAAUGGGACCAAGGUAAUAUAUUACUAUUACUCCGAGUGAAUUGGUGAAGUUGUUGUCGUGUGACCACGAGGUCACGGUUUCAAGCCCAAGGCUGUGUACAAUAAAUCAUUGUGGUUAGGGCGGUCCCUUGACUCACCGUAUUUUCAAUGGAGUUUCCACAAUUUUCAAUUUUCGGUUGAAUAUACUUUAAGAAUAUUUGAGAUAAAUGGAAAUAUGUUUGAAUUCAGUUAGUGGAUUCAUAGUGUGGUGGUCAAUGAAGUGCGUUGAGAAUCAUGACUUCUCAGGUUCAAAUUGUAGCAGAGAUAAAAGACAAUAGGUGAUGUCCUUUCAUGUGUCCUAACCUUGGUGGAUAGAGGUAUCAAGGUCCCUGUUGCUGGGCGGACCUCGUACUUGAUACCUGUUGCUAGUGGUAGGUGGCAAGUAUCCUAUGGAAAUAGUCGAGGUGCACAAAAGCUGGCCCAGACAGCACCACUAACAUACCAAGUGUAUUCCCUGAAAGUGGGGUGUGGGGAGGGUAGAGUGUACGAUGUUUGUAACUCUACCUGGGUGUGAGGUAGAGAGGUCGUUUCCGAUAAACACCAUAGUUAUUUGAAAAAAGGAAAAAAAGAGUAGUCAAGUUAUGAUGUUGUUGUUCCUUUAGAGGAUUCAUAUAAUCACCCCAACUAGUUUAUUAUUGAAUGGAAAUGUGUUGAAAUCCUUUUAUGCCCCAUUUUUAUUAGCACUGCUUAAUGAAGUGUUUUAUAAUUGGUGCAGCUUCUCCUGAGUUGCGGCAAGCAUAUAAGCAGUUUAUUAGCGCGGUGGUUGAGUUGAUGAAGGGUGAGAUAGUGUCAGAGGAGUUUAGGGAGGUGGCAUUCAGUGUGUAUAGGCUUUUCAGUGGGACAAUGGUGGAGGGUGAGGAACACAGGCUUAUUGCUGAGAAGAAGUAAACACACAAUUUCUUGAUAUAUUGCUUGAAGAAAAUAUUUUGCUCCUUGUUUUGUUUUUGGUUAUUCAUAGUUAUGGUAUUUACUAAUCUUUAGAAUAAAUGAAGAUCAGUUGGGGUUGGAGUAAUGAACCAUUUAUGUCGUAUUGAUAUGCUUUUAACGCGAGAAACAAAAGGAGACUGUUUGCUAGUAAAAGGAAUAGGUGCAUGGUGAACGACGCCUUAGCUUCUUAGCAGGGUCUUUUAGUCUCUUUUUUCAUCCCCUUUCCCAAGUACGUGAAUUUUGUAAGCUAUGAUAAAAUAUCAUUCGGACUGCUUGCUCUAUCAUCUCUUAUUGUAGUAUUUUAAUCCACUCGCAGUUGGUUUGUGUUCCUUUUGUUACUUUUUAUUUGCAAACCUAAUCACCAAAAUAAAGGAGAAAAAGAUAAUUGCUAGUAUCAGGGCGAAGGAGUUCUCGUGUUAGGUCCACUUAUAUAGGAUUCCGCUGGGUUCAGAAGCACCGUGAACAUUUAGUUUUUUUGCAGAAGGAUCUAACUAGAAUCUUCCAUCUGAUUUGACAUUUUAUCCCAUUGAUUGUUCCCUGUGUAUUAGAGACAUAAAUCGUCCAAAGCUCAAUCACAUUAUAUUUCAUUGAGUGCUUGAUACAACAACAUACCCAGUAUAUUCCCACCAAGUGGGGUCUGGGAGGGUAAGUGUACGCAGUCCAUACCACUACCUCAAAUGUGAGAUAGAGAGGCUGUUUCCGAUAGACCCCCGGCUCAAUCAUUGAGUGCUUGAUACCUUACAAAAUAUUCUCUAUGUUGGACCUUUUUAAUUGUUAGACAAAAAGAUCAGCCACUGGUGGAAUGUUCUUGAUGGCCGUAUUGAUGUAUUUCAUACCCAGCAGUCAAAGUUUUUCAGUCUUUAAUUGCUGAAAUGUUUGUUAUUUCUUGAAACCUCUUAUCUUAACAAGUUGAAAAAUUCAUUCUAGAACUCAGCUUGCUUCUUAUACUUUUCUCAUCCUAUUGCCAACUAAGGUAAUUGUAAGUAAAGAAUGUAUGACUAACAUUUGUUGUGCGCAAAGCGUUGAUGUUCCUUAUCAACAUAUUAAUUUGCAUUAAGUUGAAAAAGAAUAUAGGAAUACUGAUAGACAUGCAAAAUAAGUGGCGAAUAGUUAAGACCCGAAGAUCAGAUACUAGGUUUAUUUUUUUCUUUCCUUUGAAUACUUUGUGAAUGUCCGUAUGCCGAGAAAGUUUCUUUGAACUGCUACUCUACUAAGUCGGUCUUUUUAUUUUGAAUGCAGGCUAGAUUUGCAAAAACUUGUUGGCUAUGCAGUUUCAGAUUCAUUACUAUCAAGAAUUGCCUCUUUAGCACAAAGAUUGUAUGAAUUGCAGAAUUAUCACCCUGGAAUUGAGACCGCCCCUUUACCAGAAAUGUCUAAUGGAACCACUGAUGAAGUGGAGUUUGGAUCGGACCUUGUGUUCAGACCGCCAGCUCGUUUCUUAAUUGAUGUUUCAUUGGAAGAUUCAGAUUUUUCUGUUGAGCAGGAUAGUGCAGCUUCUUCAAGUCACGAAUCACAGUAUGAUCAUGGCGCCUUCUCAAAUUAUAGAGAAUCUGUAUCUGGUGGAAAAUUUGAUUUAAGCUGGGUAAGAGAUGCCUGUGAUAAGAUAGUUGGAGGAAGUAAUUCACAGCUUCCUCGAGAUGAACUGGCAAUGGCCAUAUGCCGCGUACUUGAUUCUGAGAAACCAGGGGAUGAGGUAACAAUAUGUCACUCUCACUUCAUAGUUCUGCUGGAUGCUUUAACCACAUCUUCUGGCACAUCAGUUCAGUAAACAUCUAAUAUGUUUUGAUGAUCUUUAUUUUUUUUAAUUCAGAUAGCUGGCGAUUUGCUUGACCUUGUUGGUGAUGGUGCAUUUGAAACAGUUCAGGAUCUUAUCAUGGUAAAAAUUUGAGCUGAUCCUCUAAUUGUUGUGGGUCGUCAUUGGACAUGUCAUCAAAUUGUUUAAAUUUUAUCAUGUAUUGCUGUAAAAAGCAUAUACGGUAGUCCAAGUCCGAUGAUAUGUUUUAGGAAUGGUUGGGAGAUUAUAAAUGUGAAUCUGGGCCUUAGUAUUUAUGAGUUGAGUUCUCCAGAAUGCUAGAUUUAUGAUAAAUAGGAGCAGUAAGCUGUUAAGGUAGAAAAUCGUUCAUUUGCAAUUUGGUGUUGUUUAGAUUAUAAUAUUUAUUCAUUUCUGCUUUUUUCUCCCCUGAAAAUUUUUCCCCUUUUAUCUCAGCACAGAAAGGAAAUUGUUGAUGCAAUCCAUCAUGGACUAAUUGAACUGAAAGCUGACAAGAUGACUACAGGCGGGCAAUUGCGUGCUCCUAGUUAUGCCAUCCAGGUAAGUAAUAGAUAUACAAUCAUGAUAAUGUCAUUCAUGCAAUGCCCCAUUUGGCAUUUGAAUUUACUUUUUACUAGUCAAACAGGUAACUGUUCAAACUGAGUCUGAAAGGCAAAUUGAUAAACUUCGUCGCAAGGAAGAAAGGAAGCAUAGACGUGGAACAAAUAACGGGGUUGAGGGUGAUUUGUCCACUGUGAGUUUUAGUUCUUUGCUUCAUGCGAGUGAGAAGAAAAACAUAUUUGAGGACCUCAUUGGUCAUGGUGAAGGGCCAAACACCUUAGGUCCUACAGCCCUUCCUCAAGGAACUACCAGAAAGCACUACAAAGGAUAUGAAGAAGUCAUUAUCCCUCCAACAUCAACUGCAUCUAUGAUGCCUGGGGAGAGACUGGUAUUUCCCUGUUCUGCCACUAUGUUUUUUCUUUGUUUAUUGCUGCUCUCCCAACUACUUACCUACUUUGGCUUAAUAAUGGACACUUGCUCUCUUUUCUGGUCCUCAUUUUCAUACACACACAAAAAGAAAAAACACUUUUGUUUGUAGUGACAUGGUUGUGAAAAUUAAUCAUCUGGAGGCGAAGUUUGGUUUGAAUGAUGCGUUGCUAGAGUUGGUUACAAAAACGGUUUGUAUAGUAAUUUUCAAACUGCUUUGGUUUUUCCUAUGCCUUCAAUACUUGAUGCUAGUGGCACUUUGUCUUUUCUCAUGUAAAUGAAAAUAUACAGGAAGUAGAUAAGAUGAUUAAUUUCUUUCACAUGUAGCUAGUUUACUAAGAUACAUAUUGUUUGGGUUGUGUUUCUCAUCCAUUUCUUGCUGAGGGCUAAUUCUUAUUAGAAUUUCUGUAAAUUCUUCAAAGAAAAUACUUGAUGCUUGAAUUGUUAUCUAUCCGAUGCUUUAUCUCGGCACGGAAGACAGUCGAAAGCUUGUCAUUUGCUAGAACAGUAGUGGCUUUUUGUGUUUAGUAUUAAAUCUUAACAAGAAAGGUAAAAGUCAUUGGUAAUGUGCUCUUUGAUAGUAGUCUGGCUGGAAUGGAGUUCUGCAACUCUUUAGGAUUAGUAUUGGCGCAGCUUGUGUAAUGUGGUUUUAUGGAAUAGCAAAGGAUGUGCUAUUUUCUCUUUCUAGAUUCUCAUAAUUUCUAUUUGUUCAGCAUUACUUUGCACAAAAAGUGCAGAAAAGCUCUUAACAUUCAAUGACCUUUCAACUUUCCUUCUGUUUUCGAUCUUCUUCACUCUUCAGCUACAGUAUCCACUACUGUUUUAGGUUAGCACAGAGAAGAUGAUGUCCCUUAAUUAUAUCGUGAACUACAGUGCAGGAGAUAAUGGUCUAAUAUCCAUCUUCUUACAUAUGAAGCACAAGUCCUACAAUUCAUUUUCUCAGUUCUGUGAUGUUAGGAUUGCAUCUACGGCUACAUGAUUUGAAGACCACUUCCCUAAUACCGUGAUAUUGUAAAUUUGUCUUGCAUACAGGACUAGCAUCAUUUUUUAUGAGGUAAGGGGUUUCAUUAAAAGGGUGUCAAGAAGAUAAAAGAGUUAUAAAGGAUAUUAUGUUAUUGGGGUAUGCAUCAAUGGGUAUCCAGGUUUGCGCUUGGCUGUUUGAGUUGUAUGGGAGUUGCGUUUUUCUUGGAUGUUUACUUAUGGAGUUUGGACUGUUGAUUUUUGUAUUAGGCACAUGUUUAAGCCAUGUGCUUUUGGAGGUGGUUUCUCUUUGUUAGUGUUUGUGGGUAGUUUGGGUUGUACUUAAAUUUUAGAGGUUAAUAAAGUCUUGCUACUCAUUUGGGCUAGGUUGGUUUGCUUUUGUGUGUGUGGGUUGUACUUGUACAUUUCCUUCUCCAUGCUUUUGGAUUUGGUUUACCUUAAUUUAGUUCCCCUUCUUUAUAUAUAUGCUAACUAGUAAUAUAUAAGAUGAAUUUUUCCGAUGAUAUUUUUGUUUAAUUGACGAAUUAAUGAUGGAGUCAAUUAAAAGAUAGAUCUAUUUAGAAGCAUACUGGUGGGUAAGAAUUUCCGAGUAGAAGUAAGAGAACAUAUCUCUGCAAGUUUAGCAUUCUAAGAGAAGUUGAAGUGAAGUUAGAUUAGACAAGAUUAUGGUGGUGUCUCAAUACAAAUGUACUAGUUAGCAUAUAUUUAAGUAUACCACAUCGGUUGGGAGAACCAGUUUAUGUCUGCUUAUGUAAUCUUGAGCUAUCCUCAUUUUAUUAGCUAGUUUUAGGUGUUGAGUAAGGUCCAAAGUCCAUUUUCUGACAUGGUAUCAAAGUCGAGCCAAUCUCUGACCUUGAUCUACCCAAUUUUGGACCCUAUGUUAUGUGGUCCACGUUUGCGUGCGGGGAUGUUAAAUUGGCCCACAUUGUUUGAGAGAAUAGGUCGAUGUUUCGUCAUAUGAUCUUGGGCAAUUUUCAUCUCAUGUGCCAACUUUUGGGUUGAGUUAAGUUCAAAGUCCAUGUUUGUUAAGUAGAUACAAUGUGUUGUGGUAGAAGAUUUCACUAUAUUAAAAAUGAUUACAUCUGACAAACAGUGCCAGCACAUCCACUGGAUUAAAUGGAAAUUAUUGCCUACUUAUAAGAAAAUGAUUGCUCGAGAUGGUUUAUCAUAUCCAAUUGCGGACCUCCAUAUGCAAUAGAUGAGAUGGACCUAAAAGACCUAGUUGGAUAAAAUGUAAGAACCCGAUUCAAUAUGGGCAAUAUCAACUAUUUUGGAUUACGAUUAUUUGUUGUAGACACCUAAUUAUGUUUGGUGUUUGCCAGGAGUUUCUUUUUUUUUUUUCUUGGUUAGAAACUUUUAUAUUCGUGUAUGGAUCUCUUCGAGAGGUAGAGAACAUUUUAAAGAGAUCCAUACACGAAUAUACAAGUUUCUAACCAAGAAAAAAAAAAGGAACUCCUGGCAAACACCAAACAUAAUUAGGUGUCUACAACAACUAAUUGUAAUCCAAAAUAGUUGAUAUUGCCAUAUUGAGUCGGUUUCUUACAUUUUAUCCAACUAGGUCUUUUAGGUCUAUCUCGUUUAAUUGCAUAUGGAGGUCCGCAAUUGGAUAUAGAGAACAUUUAAUUUUAGCUCAAUUUCAAAAAAAGAACAUUUAAUUUUAGCUAACCGCCUAAACCCCAAUUGCUUGAAACAAGAACCAUCAGUAAGCGUUUGGACACAACUUCUAGCCACAAUAUAUUUGCAAAAAUUAGAAUAGUAUUUUGCAAAUCAGUGUUUGUUUUACUAUUUUGUGCAUUAUUUCAACUUCAACAUGUAAGUAGAGAAUUUGACGUUAAACUUGUUUGAGGAGUAUUUUGAAAUAAUGAUUUUCACCCACUAAAUUUCAAUUGUUUCUCAAGAAAAAUUCAUGUACAGACAUAACUCAGCAUCAAAUCAAAUACCUUUAGAUUUUUUUUUUUUCUUUUAAAGUCAUUGACAUGAGAAAAUGGCAUAAAACUCAUCCACCUUAUUUCUUUGCUAGGCAGAUGUAGAUACCAGGAUGCACUGUUCAUUUGCUGUAAUCUCAUAGUUAUUUUGCAUGAAUGGCAGCUCAUUCUCCUCUUUGUAGUCUCUCUCUCACUCUCUCCAAUAAAUUAUAUUUUCUACAGAAUUCUGUUAACUUAAAUAUAAAUAUCUUUUGAUUGAUCCAGUUUACGCUAUGCUAUUUAUGUCAUCUUCAGUCUCAUAUAAUCUUUAUUUCCUAUUAUGUAUAUUUUUUGUUUUGUUUAAAAAGGAGAGGGAUGGGGCGAGGAAACGGGAAAAUAAGUCCCAAUGUGAUUUUAUAAACAUGUCAAUCAAGUGUAUGACAUUUCUUAUAAAUUUCGGGGAUCUAUCAGAAACAACCUCUCUACAUCAUCUGAGGUAGUGGUAUGGGCUGCGUACAUUUUAUCCCCCAUCCCCCUCAGACCCCACUUUGUGGGAAUACACUGGGUAUGUUGUUGUUUGUUGUAAAUUCUGUCUCCACAUCUUUGCUGUUUCUCAGGUGAUAAUGUUAUGAAAACUUGCUUCUGAUGAAUCUUCAGUGGUUUCACCAAAACUUUCUUAAUUUGACUGAUAGUUUUGCUUUCUUGGUUUUCUUAUCAGAUUGAGAUAAAGGAGCUAGACGAUUUUGCUCAAGCAGCUUUCCAUGGCUACAAGAGUCUCAACCGUAUUCAGAGCAGAAUUUACCAUACUACUUAUAAUAGCAAUGAAAACAUACUAGUGAGUAACCUUCUCCUUUCGUUUAAAAAAAGGGUAGCCCACUACACAAAGCGUCCUGCAUUAGUAGGGUCCCGGAGAAGGGUUGCACUCCUAGGGUGUGAUGUAGACAGUCUACCCUAAGGGGUGGUGUAUGUUAAUACCCUUUCUUUCAGUUAUGAUGUAUACUAUUUUCUUAUGGAGAUAAGUUUUGAUCCGUCUUUGACAGCUUUCAUUUCAUCUAUUACCAGGUAUGUGCUCCCACUGGGGCUGGGAAAACAAACAUUGCUAUGAUUGCUAUUUUACAUGAGGUGUGCUCUAUCUUUCUUUUAGAGCAUGUUCCUUGCUGGGACUUCUGGCACUUUGAUGAAGUUACGUAACCUUCUUCUCUUACGCAGAUCAAACAUCACUUUAGAGAUGGUUACUUACAUAAGGAUGAAUUCAAGAUAAUCUAUGUUGCUCCUAUGAAGGUAUUUUUUGGGAGUUGUGUACUUGUGUCCUUCAAUUUAUUUCAGAUAAUUGGAGAUAUGAGGUAAUUGCUUCUCUAGGCAUUAGCUGCAGAGGUCACAUCAACUUUCAGUCGCCGAUUGUCUCCACUUAAUGUAACUGUGCGGGAACUUACUGGAGACAUGCAGCUUUCUAAGAAUGAGCUCGAGGAAACGCAGGUUCUGUCAAACUUCAGCUCUUGUAAAGUUGCUGAUUAUUUACUUAUUGGCUUUCUGUUUGGAUAAUGGCCUAGUUGACUGGUUUGUUGAUUGGCUACACUCUGAUGGUGUCUGGUUAUAUUUCUUCAGAUGAUAGUGACAACACCUGAAAAGUGGGAUGUUAUUACUCGUAAAAGCAGUGAUAUGUCACUCUCAAUGCUGGUCAAGCUACUUAUCAUUGAUGAAGUCCAUUUGCUAAAUGAUGAUAGAGGUCCUGUGAUAGAAGCGUUAGUAGCCCGUACACUUCGUCAGGUUAGCAAAUGCUGUUUUACUUGAUUAGUGUCUACCAUAGAAAUUUCAGUAGUGUUUAUGUAUGAUAUGUUGCCUCUGUGCACUAAUUGCUGCCGCAAUCCUCUCCUACUGUUUCACUUCUCCAAUAAGUGCCUAAAAUUGAAAGAUGAAGCAUGCAUGCUUUUUUUAAAUUCAAGUAAAAAGUUUUUAAAUUCUGGGCAAAAUUGAAAGAUGAAACAUUUUAUUGGCAUUUAGAACAGAAUAAUACAAUGUUGGCAAAAGACAUUUUAGAGCUUUCCAUUUUUAAAACCAUAGGAGUAUGAGGUACAUUAAGGUUAUGAAAAUGCUGUGAGACGUAGGUUUAAGUCAUGAAUCUAGUGUAACAUCGAAAUAUAAACUUGGCAGCAAGACCUGUUGACCUACUAUGAGUAUUUAGGUUAUGAACUUGAUUGUGAUAUCAUCUCAUCUAGUGCUAUGGUGGAGGUGACUCCAUUUUCAUGUGUUAAUGGUUUGGUUUGAAUUUUGGUUCGUGUGCUUUGGCAGGUGGAGUCCACACAGUCUAUGAUAAGGAUAGUGGGCCUUUCAGCUACUUUACCUAACUACUUGGAGGUUGGUUCUGGAGUUAAAAAUUUUCGUUUAGAAGUCUUUACCCCAUAUUGGACAUUGAGCUGUACAGAGUGAUGAAGCUCCAAUAUUUUGGUACAUCCUUUUUGGAUAUAGCUUUUUGUCAUGGCUAUUCCCUUUGUGAAAUCCAGGUUGCACAGUUUCUAAGGGUGAAUUCAGAGACAGGCUUAUUUUUCUUCGGUUCGAGCUACCGCCCAGUACCUCUUGCGCAGCAGUAUAUUGGUAUUAGUGAGCAUAACUUUUUAGCCCGUAAUGAUCUGCUUAAUGAGAUAUGUUACAAUAAGGUGUCUUUCUUCAAAACCUUUCUCUUUGCUAUUUCGCACUCGCCCAAAAAAAUUCUAGUUUGACUCUUCACCUAUGCAGGUUGUUGAUUCCUUAAAACAAGGGCAUCAGGCUAUGGUUUUUGUCCAUUCACGUAAGGACACAGUGAAAACUGCUGAUAAGCUGGUAGGUUUUUUCAUCAGGCUAUGGUUUAACGCACAGUUAAUCAUUUUACUUUGUAGUUCCACUCUUGUUGUUGCAUUUUGUUUGUCUUGCUUUCCUCUUAGUCCAACUCAAUUUUCUUUUUUCACUUUGAUUUACUGAAGUCUUUCUCUUCAGUAUUCAUUUCUUUUCUGAAUGUUAUGUAAUUCACUAUCUAUAUAAAUUUUCUUCACUAUUUAUUCCUUAUAAAAUCUAUGUUAUACUUGUUUAAAUCCAUUAAAAAUUGGAAACUUGUCUAAAAGCAAUUUGUAAUUCUUAUCUUGCACCAAUUUUUAUUUGACUUACAACUCCAUCCAUCUCUAUUGCAUAUCUUGCACUUUUUAUUGUCAUGUUUAUUAUUUAGGAACGAACUUGAAAGAUGGUUGGGUUCCAUAACUUCCACAAUUUAUGCUCAUCUUUCCUUUAUGAUAGUGGUGGUUAUUUUCGAGAUUUCACCAAGAAGAUGGAAAUUCAGCAUUCAAGUUCUUCCACGACUUUCUGUAUUAUGAAUUUUAACUUCCAUAACCUCGUGCGGGACAACCUCUACCUCUUUAUAAAUUAGGUUUAUCCUGCAUAACUAGUCAAACAAAGACUAUAAAAUGUGCCACAUCUUUGUUGAUGAAGUGCUAUGAGUGGUAACUGUCAAUUUAGAUGGGCGAUCUUCCAGCGAGGGGAAAACUGUUCUCUCUAUCGUGAUAGAAGUUGGAAAAGUAUCUUUCUAGAUGCUAACAGUAUUUGUCUAGUUCAAAGAAACGAUAUUCUUGUCAAAGUAAUGAACUUUGCACUAAAGCAUACUGCUGCCUCGAGGCAUUUUCAGAUUCUUGCAGAGGCAACCCAAAUUUGGAGUCAGUCCAUGUCUUAAUAAAUCAUGGAUGUUCUGUGAAAUCCUUUCUGCGGUUCUCUGCUAGAGAUAGGUGAUCAAUGUUGGGGUGAGUUCACAUUUAGGACUGCACAGUGGCUUUUGAUAAAAAAUCCUGGGAAUGGCUUAAAAAAGUUUUCUUUAGCUCUACUGAUAACUAACAAGGCAGAAUCCGCAGUUGAGAGAUUUUUGCAACUAUAGCAUGCCCGUAACUGAGAGGGUGGUGGGAUCCGUAGAGUUAGAAAUUCUAAAGAAUUAUAAAGGAAGAGGGGUUGCGAAUGAUUUUCUUGAUUAUUCCCUCAAGCAUGUUGGAAUUUAUUCCGCACUUUGUGUUUACAAGGUAAUCCUAUAAAGGAAAGGAAAUUAUAGAAGUGAUCUUAAAAAGGAAAUAAAGUAAUUCAUAUUCCUAUUUACACAAUCAUGGGGGUUUCUUAACCAUUCCCAUAUAUAUAUAAGAGAUGGAUUUUGUAGUGCUAAUAAUUUCCUAAUAUAUAACUGAGACCAUGUUCUUUCUAUCCAUAGUUAGACUCUGUGUGUGUAUAUAUAUGUAUUAUUUUUUAAUUUUUUUGAUAAGAUAAAUGUAUUUCAUUCAUAACAUGGCCUAGUUGGCCGUAUACAAGGGAUAAAACCAAAAAGUAAAGAAUCUACUAAAUCUGAUUCGCUACAAAAUCCACCCAUUCUUGUAUACAACAAGGAAUCAUAUGGGUUCACCAAAAGAAAAUAAGGGACCGGAGGCUAUUUCUCGCCUGAAAAAAAACUUAAGACUCUACCACCUCAAAAGCUUUCCUAUUUCUCUCUCUCCAAAUAACCCACAUCAACUCCAGAGGGACCAAAUUUCAUGCCUUACGUCUUCUCCUCCUUUUUUGCUUCUCCAACAAAGCAUCAACUUUUUCAUAGUAUUUGGUAUUACCUAAGUAACGCCAAAUCACUGAGGCAUGUCCCACCAUUAUUUUAUGGUAAAGACACAAUAAAUGAACCAUAAGGGUUGUGUGGCGAUUCAGAACCUCACCCCUUAAGCAAGAGGCUGGGGUUCGAUCCCCACUUCUGGUAAAUGGAAAAAACUCUGUGGCUAGUUCUCUACCGCUUAGUGCGCUAACCGUAGGAACAGAGGAUUAGUCUCACGGCUGCCGACUGUGGGGAUACCUUGGGAAACCAAAAAAAAAAAAAAAAGACACAAUGAAUGAGAAGAUGGUCCACUUCCUCCCCCUCUCUCCUCACACAAACAACCUUCCCUUUUCUAAGAUUUUCCGCCAUCACAUCACCCCUCUAGUUGCUACCCAAGAGAAAAAAAUACACCUUCCUCUGCCUCCCUGAUUAGAAGUUUCUCAUAGAAUGAUGUAACAGAGAAAACUCCAUUAUUCCCCAAAACC